Molecule: small nucleolar RNA, 72 nt
Organism: Phycodurus eques (leafy seadragon)
Lineage: Eukaryota; Metazoa; Chordata; Actinopteri; Syngnathiformes; Syngnathidae
Source: RefSeq, a predicted model, not a curated record
GGUGCAAGUGAUGCUUUAAAGCGAUCAAAGUAUGACCAUUGUGAUUCCAUUUUUUUAUACGACUGAUGCACC